CCUAUUUGACUCCAAAAAUAUUUAUCCUACCCCUUUUCGUUAGCG
RNAcentral lists this transfer RNA (45 nucleotides) under Glossostigma trichodes. RNAcentral describes it as "partial tRNA-Leu". The record is from RNAcentral. Lineage: Eukaryota; Viridiplantae; Streptophyta; Magnoliopsida; Lamiales; Phrymaceae. RNAcentral also lists the same sequence under 1 other name.